This 485-nucleotide ribosomal RNA is filed under the name uncultured bacterium. RNAcentral describes it as "bacterial SSU rRNA". It matches the Rfam family "Bacterial small subunit ribosomal RNA", at positions 8 to 526 of the family's 1533-position model. The record is from RNAcentral.
AGGGUUUGAUCAUGGCUCAGAUUGAACGCUGGCUGCAUGCUUAACACAUGCAAGUCGAACGAGAAAGUGCCUUCGGGCGCGAGUAAAGUGGCGGACGGGUGAGUAAUGCAUAGGAAUCUGCCCAGUAGUAGGGGACAACUCGGGGAAACUCGAGCUAAUACCGUAUAUUUCCUAAGGGAGAAAGACUUCGGUCGCUAUUGGAUGAGCCUAUGUCAGAUUAGCUUGUUGGUAGGGUAAUGGCCUACCAAGGCGACGAUCUGUAGCUGGUCUGAGAGGAUGAUCAGCCACACUGGGACUGAGACACGGCCCAGACUCCUACGGGAGGCAGCAGUGGGGAAUAUUGGACAAUGGGCGAAAGCCUGAUCCAGCAAUGCAGCGUGUGUGAAGAAGGCCUGAGGGUUGUAAAGCACUUUCAGUAGGGAAGAUAAUGACGGUACCUACAGAAGAAGCACCGGCUAACUCCGUGCCAGCAGCCGCGGUAAUUC